RNAcentral lists this ribosomal RNA (910 nucleotides) under uncultured bacterium. RNAcentral describes it as "bacterial SSU rRNA". It matches the Rfam family "Bacterial small subunit ribosomal RNA", at positions 8 to 927 of the family's 1533-position model. The record is from RNAcentral.
AGAGUUUGAUCCUGGCUCAGGACGAACGCUGGCGGCACGCUUAACACAUGCAAGUCGAACGAAGUCCAGCGGAGCUUGCUCUGCGAAGACUUAGUGGCGAACGGGUGCGUAACACGUGAGAAAUCUGCCCCGAACUUGGGAAUAACAGUUGGAAACGACUGCUAAUACCGAAUACCUUCACGACGUCGCAUGGCGAUGUGAAGAAAGCUUUAUGCGGUUUGGGAGGCUCUCGCGGCCUAUCAGCUUGUUGGUGAGGUAACGGCUCACCAAGGCAUCGACGGGUAGCUGGUCUGAGAGGAUGAUCAGCCACACUGGGACUGAGACACGGCCCAGACUCCUACGGGAGGCAGCAGUGGGGAAUAUUGCACAAUGGGCGCAAGCCUGAUGCAGCGAUGCCGCGUGCGGGAUGAAGGCCCUAGGGUUGUAAACCGCUUUCAGUAGGGAAGAAAAUGACGGUACCUACAGAAGAAGGUGCGGCCAACUACGUGCCAGCAGCCGCGGUGACACGUAGGCACCAAGCGUUGUCCGGAUUUAUUGGGCGUAAAGAGCUCGUAGGCGGUUCAGUUAGUCGGGUGUGAAAACUCUGGGCUCAACCCAGAGACGCCACCCGAUACUGCUGUGACUUGAGUACGGUAGGGGAGUGGGGAAUUCCUGGUGUAGCGGUGAAAUGCGCAGAUAUCAGGAGGAACACCAGUGGCGAAGGCGCCACUCUGGGCCGUAACUGACGCUGAGGAGCGAAAGCAUGGGUAGCAAACAGGAUUAGAUACCCUGGUAGUCCAUGCCGUAAACGUUGGGGCACUAGGUGUGGGUCUCAACCAACGAGAUCCGCGCCGCCGCUAACGCAUUAAGUGCCCCGCCUGGGGAGUACGGUCGCAGACUAAACUCAAAGGAAUUGACGGGGGCCCGCACA